AUUGAACGCUGGCGGUAUGCUUAACACAUGCAAGUCGAACGGUAACAGGCCUUCGGGCGCUGACGAGUGGCGGACGGGUGAGUAACGCGUAGGAAUCUGCCUCAUAGUGGGGGACAACGUGGGGAAACUCACGCUAAUACCGCAUACGCCUACGGGGAAAGGCGGGGGAGUCUUCGGACCUCGCGCUAUGAGAUGAGCCUGCGUUAGAUUAGCUAGUUGGUAGGGUAAAGGCCUACCAAGGCGACGAUCUAUAGCUGGUCUGAGAGGACGAUCAGCCACACUGGGACUGAGACACGGCCCAGACUCCUACGGGAGGCAGCAGUGGGGAAUAUUGGACAAUGGGCGCAAGCCUGAUCCAGCAAUACCGCGUGUGUGAAGAAGGCCCUAGGGUUGUAAAGCACUUUCAAUUAGGGAGGGAAAACCUAGCCGGUCAAUACCCGGCAGCUUGACAUUACCUUUAGAAGAAGCACCCGG
RNAcentral lists this ribosomal RNA (474 nucleotides) under uncultured bacterium. RNAcentral's name for it is "bacterial SSU rRNA". It matches the Rfam family "Bacterial small subunit ribosomal RNA", at positions 30 to 497 of the family's 1533-position model. The record is from RNAcentral.